This 341-nucleotide ribosomal RNA is filed under the name Amblyomma calcaratum. Its description in RNAcentral is "partial 12S ribosomal RNA". Lineage: Eukaryota; Metazoa; Arthropoda; Arachnida; Ixodida; Ixodidae. The record is from RNAcentral.
AUUAUUAAGAACUAAAUAUUGUAAGUAAGUAAAUAUUAUGAAACAAAAAAUUAUGGCGGUACUUUAAGCUUUUCAGAGGAAUUUGCUCUUUAAUGGAUAAAACACCUAAAUCUUACUAAAAUUAGUUUUAAGCCAGUUUGUAUACCACUAUAAAAGUAAUAAUUUAUAAUUAUUACUUAAAUUUUAAGAGUUUAAAAUUAACUUAAGUCAUGGUGCAGCAAAAAUUUUAGGUUGAAGUGAAUUACAUUUCUUUUCAGUUUUUUAAAAUUUAAAAAUUAAUUAGGAUUUGAAAGUAAAAAUAUAAUAUAAUGAUAUUUUGAAUUAAGUUCUGAAGUAUGUAC